Molecule: ribosomal RNA, 301 nt
Filed under: uncultured bacterium
Lineage: Bacteria
Description: partial 16S ribosomal RNA
Rfam family: Bacterial small subunit ribosomal RNA
Source: RNAcentral
CAGUAGCCACGGUAAUACGUAGGGUGCGAGCGUUAAUCGGAAUUACUGGGCGUAAAGCGUGCGCAGGCGGUUCGUUAAGACAGAUGUGAAAUCCCCGGGCUUAACCUGGGAACUGCAUUUGUAACUGACGGGCUAGAGUAUGGCAGAGGGGGGUAGAAUUCCACGUGUAGCAGUGAAAUGCGUAGAGAUGUGGAGGAAUACCGAUGGCGAAGGCAGCCCCCUGGGCCAAUACUGACGCUCAUGCACGAAAGCGUGGGGAGCAAACAGGAUUAGAUACCCGCGUAGUCCCUGUCUCUUAUAC